This 343-nucleotide ribosomal RNA is filed under the name uncultured Melissococcus sp. RNAcentral's name for it is "bacterial LSU rRNA". It matches the Rfam family "Bacterial large subunit ribosomal RNA", at positions 1760 to 2303 of the family's 2925-position model. Lineage: Bacteria; Bacillati; Bacillota; Bacilli; Lactobacillales; Enterococcaceae. The record is from RNAcentral.
CGGCCGCGUCGACCCUGGCUCAGGAUGAACGCUGGCGGUCUGCUUAACACAUGCAAGUCGACACGAGAGACUCGGUGAAAUUAUAGUACCUGUGAAGAUGCACGGUUACCCGCGACAGGACGGAAAGACCCCAUGGAGCUUUACUGCAGUUUGAUAUUGAGUGUUUGUACAGCUUGUACAGGAUAGGUAGGAGCCGAUGAAACCAGGACGCUAGUCUUGGUGGAGGCGUUGGUGGGAUACUACCCUUGCUGUAUGACCACUCUAACCCACAGCCAUGAUCUGGCUGGGAGACAGUGUCUGACGGGCAGUUUGACUGGGGCGGUCGCCUCGUCGACGCGGCCCG